RNAcentral lists this ribosomal RNA (252 nucleotides) under uncultured bacterium. RNAcentral describes it as "partial 16S ribosomal RNA". It matches the Rfam family "Bacterial small subunit ribosomal RNA", at positions 524 to 776 of the family's 1533-position model. The record is from RNAcentral.
UACGUAGGUGGCAAGCGUUGUCCGGAAUUAUUGGGCGUAAAGCGCGCGCAGGCGGUCUUUUAAGUCUGAUGUGAAAGCCCACGGCUCAACCGUGGAAGGUCAUUGGAAACUGGGAGACUUGAGUACAGAAGAGGAAAGCGGAAUUCCACGUGUAGCGGUGAAAUGCGUAGAGAUGUGGAGGAACACCAGUGGCGAAGGCGCUUUCUGGACCGUAGCUGACGCUGAGACACGAAAGCGUGGGUAGCAAACAGG